GUGUCAGCAGCCGCGGUAAGACGUAGGGGGCGAGCGUUGUCCGGAAUCAUUGGGCGUAAAGAGCGCGUAGGCGGCUCGGAAAGUCGGAUGUGAAAACCCGGGGCUCAACCCCGGGCCUGCAUCCGAUACUCUCGAGCUCGAGGCAGGUAGGGGAGAUCGGAAUUCCUGGUGUAGCGGUGAAAUGCGCAGAUAUCAGGAGGAACACCGGUGGCGAAGGCGGAUCUCUGGGCCUGUCCUGACGCUGAGGCGCGAAAGCUAGGGGAGCGAACAGGAUUAGAAACCCGAGUAGUCC
RNAcentral lists this ribosomal RNA (292 nucleotides) under uncultured bacterium. Its description in RNAcentral is "partial 16S ribosomal RNA". It matches the Rfam family "Bacterial small subunit ribosomal RNA", at positions 505 to 796 of the family's 1533-position model. The record is from RNAcentral.